This 246-nucleotide ribosomal RNA is filed under the name Enterobacter cloacae. RNAcentral describes it as "partial 16S ribosomal RNA". It matches the Rfam family "Bacterial small subunit ribosomal RNA", at positions 61 to 305 of the family's 1533-position model. Lineage: Bacteria; Pseudomonadati; Pseudomonadota; Gammaproteobacteria; Enterobacterales; Enterobacteriaceae. The record is from RNAcentral.
GUCGAACGGUAGCACAGAGAGCUUGCUCUCGGGUGACGAGUGGCGGACGGGUGAGUAAUGUCUGGGAAACUGCCUGAUGGAGGGGGAUAACUACUGGAAACGGUAGCUAAUACCGCAUAAUGUCGCAAGACCAAAGAGGGGGACCUUCGGGCCUCUUGCCAUCAGAUGUGCCCAGAUGGGAUUAGCUAGUAGGUGGGGUAACGGCUCACCUAGGCGACGAUCCCUAGCUGGUCUGAGAGGAUGACC